CAACCCUUAUCCCUAGUUGCCAUCAGGUCAAGCUGGGCACUCUAGUGAAACUGCCUCGGAUAACGAGGAGGAAGGUGGGGAUGACGUCAAGUCCUCAUGGCCUUUAUGUCCAGGGCUACACACGUGCUACAAUGGUCGGUACAAACCGUCGCAAACCCGUGAGGGGGAGCUAAUCGGAAAAAGCCGGCCUCAGUUCGGAUUGGAGCUCGCGUUUAGACUCCAUGAAGCUGGAAUCGCUAGUAAUCGCGGAUCAGAACGCCGCGGUGAAUACGUUCCCGG
RNAcentral lists this ribosomal RNA (279 nucleotides) under uncultured Acidobacteriota bacterium. RNAcentral's name for it is "uncultured Acidobacteria bacterium partial 16S ribosomal RNA". It matches the Rfam family "Bacterial small subunit ribosomal RNA", at positions 1099 to 1377 of the family's 1533-position model. The record is from RNAcentral. Lineage: Bacteria; Pseudomonadati; Acidobacteriota.